This is a long non-coding RNA of Ruditapes philippinarum (Manila clam), 296 nucleotides long. RefSeq lists it as uncharacterized. The transcript has 4 exons. NCBI's taxonomy places the organism in Eukaryota, Metazoa, Mollusca, Bivalvia, Venerida, Veneridae. The record is from RefSeq and is a predicted model, not a curated record.
AAUUCGUUAUCUAUUUAGUUCAUGUGUGUCAAAAUGUGUUGAUAAAUUUUCUAAAAUGUCUAAAAGGAAAUUAUUGCAAACAUUGUUGGCCUGAAGGAUGAUGUUACUCGUCCUGUCAGUUAUACAUCUGUUUGUCCAAAACACCGCUGCACUGGAAUGUUUCAGCUGUCAAGCUGUAAACGAUGCCAAUAGUUGCAACAACACACUUGUAUGUAAGGAUGGACAGGCUUGCUUUCUAAAUACUUCAUCGACAAAUCAACAUCACAUGAAUGUACUAGGUUGUAUCGACAAUCAGG